UUCACCCUUGCACUCCCUUGUUCACCCUUGCUUUCAUGUGUAUCCUUGUGCUGCUCACCUCUGUGCACUCCUGCUCCCUUGCGCACCUACGAACUCACGCAAAAACUCGAGCACUCUGUAGAGUACCCUUGCACGCCCGUUUUUCCUUGUUUACCCAUGGGUACACCUUUGAUCAGAACUGUUUUCCCUUGUUCCUGGCUUCCUUGACAAUUGGUCAUAAAUUAUUGAAUAAGCGCAACAACAGUUGCGGUGGAGAUUGUAAUAAUUAAAGCAGUAAAAGCUGUUAAGAUGUAAAAAGAUGAAACAACAAACUUUGCACAGUUCCUAACAAACUAACAAAGCUAACAAGCUUUAAUCACAAUAAUACUUCAAAAAAGCUUUAAUAUUCAUUGCAUCCUCCCUCUCCCUUUUCAGAGACGAAUUGGCUUCGCAAUAAAGACUUUGUUCAGGUGGUGGGUAGCGUAACUAGCCUUUGCAGAGCAUUGCUGAGAUUAAGCAGAACAGGUUACUGAAUAAUACAAGAAAUAUCCAAUGCUGUCUGCGUCCCGUUAUCCUCUGUUUUGUUUCCUUGAAGGCAGCCAAUCUUUGGCUGACCUUUGGGUGGGGGCUGGGGUUUGUGCCCAUGUCUUUGUUGUUAUUAUCUUUGUCAUCUUACUACACUCUUUGCAUCUUAUGUUGCACCACUUACAAUUUUUUUAUCUUGUGGGGCAAACUGCUCCUUGACGUUUUCUCCACUAGUAUUAUAAUUUUUAGUCAUAAUAUUAUUUUCUUGAGAUCCUCAAAUUUCACUUGCUACCAUAAUCAAAGUAAUUAACCAAAAUAAUAUGCAUAUUUGUGAUGGCUCUGUUUAAACAGCUUAUAUACUAAAUCAGUCACACAUCUUUACUCACAGUACCAUAUUUACUUGAAUAAGCGCCUGGUGCUUAUUCAAUUUUUUUUACUCUCAGACGGGGCGCUUCUUGUUGGGGGAGGCGCUUAUUUAAGGGAGGCGCCUAUUUCAAAGGACAAAUUUCGAACAAAAGUCCGAAGUGUUUUUAUUAAUUUAAUAUCAGUUUUAUACUGCAUCAGUUUCUUUUCUUUUUAUAUCAUUUUUAAAACGUAAAGCAGCUUUUUUCAACUUUCAUCCAUUAAAUAUUUCCCUUUUUUUUGUCCAGAGUCUAUGAGAUUCUGCUUUCUUUAAACUACAUUAUGAUGUCAUUUUACUCAGUUACAUAAAACCUAGGGAGGGGGUGCUUAUUCGAGUAAAUACGGUAUGAGUUUUUGCUCUUAUUUACUUUUUUUAUUAUAUUAUUCUAGAUUAAUAACAGAGUGUUAGACAGCAUGAAUGAUAUGUCAAAAGAAAGAUUCACUAGAAAAAGAACAUCUUCUAGGAAAAGCAUUAUGUUAUUUAAAAAAAAGUCUUGUGACAACUGGAUGAAAAAGCUUUUUUCACAUGAAUAUGUAACCAUAAAUGCAGAUGAUUUUCUGUUGAAUGUGCUUUGUUUUACAAUAAAUGAAAAUUAACAUAA
Long non-coding RNA from Nematostella vectensis (starlet sea anemone), 1508 nucleotides. RefSeq lists it as uncharacterized. The transcript has 2 exons. The record is from RefSeq and is a predicted model, not a curated record. NCBI's taxonomy places the organism in Eukaryota, Metazoa, Cnidaria, Anthozoa, Actiniaria, Edwardsiidae.